RNAcentral lists this ribosomal RNA (465 nucleotides) under uncultured bacterium. RNAcentral's name for it is "partial 16S ribosomal RNA". It matches the Rfam family "Bacterial small subunit ribosomal RNA", at positions 28 to 507 of the family's 1533-position model. The record is from RNAcentral.
GACGAACGCUGGCGGCGUGCUUAACACAUGCAAGUCGAACGGAAAGGCCCCCUUGUGGGGUACUCGAGUGGCGAACGGGUGAGUAACACGUGAGUAACCUACCCUUGACUUUGGGAUAACUUCAGGAAACUGGGGCUAAUACCGGAUAGGAGCUCCUGCUGCAUGGUGGGGGUUGGAAAGUUUCGGCGGUUGGGGAUGGACUCGCGGCUUAUCAGCUUGUUGGUGGGGUAGUGGCUCACCAAGGCUUUGACGGGUAGCCGGCCUGAGAGGGUGACCGGCCACAUUGGGACUGAGAUACGGCCCAGACUCCUACGGGAGGCAGCAGUGGGGAAUAUUGCACAAUGGGCGGAAGCCUGAUGCAGCAACGCCGCGUGCGGGAUGACGGCCUUCGGGUUGUAAACCGCUUUCGCCUGUGACGAAGCGUGAGUGACGGUAAUGGGUAAAGAAGCACCGGCCAACUACGUG